AAAAAGAUGCCACUUUUGACUUAAUAUGGUUGUUGUGAUAGUCACAGCUGAAACAUUCCCCCUAUUAUGUACGUUCACUUAAGCCAAGACAUAAGGACAUAAUUGCAUAUAUCAUUUAAAGCAUGCCUAACUAGCACAUCAUAACACUUGAAACAAGAAAAUGAUCGCACUAUACAAUAUACAUAUUCUUCAAAACACAUAACAAAACAUAUUUAUUUCCACCCCUUGCAUGUGAUCAAUAAAACAGCGAAAUGUA
RNAcentral lists this unclassified non-coding RNA (256 nucleotides) under Hevea brasiliensis (rubber tree). Lineage: Eukaryota; Viridiplantae; Streptophyta; Magnoliopsida; Malpighiales; Euphorbiaceae. The record is from RNAcentral.